RNAcentral lists this ribosomal RNA (406 nucleotides) under uncultured bacterium. RNAcentral's name for it is "partial 16S ribosomal RNA". It matches the Rfam family "Bacterial small subunit ribosomal RNA", at positions 30 to 526 of the family's 1533-position model. The record is from RNAcentral.
AUUGAACGCUGGCGACAGGCUUAACACAUGCAAGUCGAACGAGUGGCGGACGGGUGAGUAAUGCCUGGGAAUCUACCUUAUGGAGGGGGAUAACUACUGGAAACUGUAGCUAAUACCGCAUACCAUCGGAUGUGCCCAAGGGGGAUUAGGUAGUUGGUGGGGUAAAGGCUCACCAAGCCGACGAUCCCUAGCUGGUCUGAGAGGAUGACCAGCCAAACUGGAACUGAGACACGGCCAAGACUCCUACGGGAGGCAGCAGUGGGGAAUAUUGCACAAUGGGGGCAAGCCUGAUGCAGCCAUGCCGCGUGAAUGAAGAAGGCCUUCGGGUUGUAAAGUACUUUCAGUGGGGAGGCGUUAAAUACAGAAGAAGCACCGGAUAACUCCGUGCCAGCAGCCGCGGUAAUAC